UACGUAGGUGGCAAGCGUUGUCCGGAAUUAUUGGGCGUAAAGCGCGCGCAGGCGGUCCCUUAAGUCUGAUGUGAAAGCCCACGGCUCAACCGUGGAGGGUCAUUGGAAACUGGGGGACUUGAGUGCAGAAGAGGAAAGUGGAAUUCCAUGUGUAGCGGUGAAAUGCGUAGAGAUGUGGAGGAACACCAGUGGCGAAGGCGACUUUCUGGUCUGUAACUGACGCUGAGGCGCGAAAGCGUGGGGAUCAAACAGG
RNAcentral lists this ribosomal RNA (253 nucleotides) under uncultured bacterium. Its description in RNAcentral is "partial 16S ribosomal RNA". It matches the Rfam family "Bacterial small subunit ribosomal RNA", at positions 524 to 776 of the family's 1533-position model. The record is from RNAcentral.